Molecule: long non-coding RNA, 2970 nt
Organism: Hemicordylus capensis (graceful crag lizard)
Lineage: Eukaryota; Metazoa; Chordata; Lepidosauria; Squamata; Cordylidae
Exons: 3
Source: RefSeq, a predicted model, not a curated record
AAAGAGGGGACCACAGUCAUAUUUUGGAGACAUCAUACAGAGGCUUUUCACCUGUGCAUGCAAAACCGUGCUAAGGAAGCCCAGCCUGGUUUGCACGGGUGUGUGAACCACUGGGAUUGCACCUAAUCCCGGCAGCACCAUGGCAGCAAACCCACGUGUGGAGCCAUCCUUCUCAAUGGAGUUAGGAGAGCAAGUGCUUCCCUAACCCUGUUUAUCUGAUCGCGUGUCAGCCGUGGCUGCUUGCGGCCAUGGGAAGGGAAGGGGGGGAUCCCCACAACACACUGUGCACGUAAGUUGUACAUGACUGGAGCUCCAGUGGGGUGGAGUGGAACAUAGGAACAUAGGAAACUGCCAUAUACUGAGUCAGACCAUUGGUCCAUCUAGCUCAGUAUUGUCUACACUGACUGGCAGCGGCUUCUCCAAGGUUGCUGGCAGGAGUCUCUCUCACCUAAGGGGACAAGUCAUGCUUGCUACCACAAGACCAGCUCUCCUGGUCUUGUGAGGGAAUGUGCCCCAAUGUGCAUUGCAAGGCAAUGCACCCCAACCCUCAGAGCUACUAGCAGGAGCCUGUGCUUGUCUGGAUGGGUGAUCUGCCCACCCAAGGAAGAACUGCUCAUCUGCAGGGAAGGUACAUUUAACCAGCCUUCCCCACAGCCCACCCUUUAGCCAUUCUCAGUGCUCAUGAGGAGAGGCUCACGGCCUGUUCAACAAGGAAGGCUCAAGCUAUUGUGGUGCCUGAGGCGAGAUGUAAAAUGCUCUUGCUGCAUGACACUGGUAGGGGGCAGCCCUUACAAGGAACUGCCCCUUGUAAGCUUUGAAGGUGGUGUGGAGGAUGAGUAAGAGGGGAGGUUGACAGCAGCCUCCUCUUCUCUCCUUGUGAUUCUUGGAACCUUUGCAAGGAGUGUGAGGCAACGCUUACAAGGCUCAGAUUGGUCACCAAGAACUCCUCCAAUGGCAGCUGCAAGUAAUGGCAGCUGUCUUCUUGCCGCCCUGCUGGUGCCCAGUACUCUGCCACCUGAGGCGACUACCUCACCUCACCUCCUAAAAGAACUCCCCACUCUUCAAGGACAAGAGAUUAUAUAGCCUUCUGCUCUCUACUCAGGAUGAACAGAUUUUAAGACCAUGCAGGGUCAUACUGCACAUGCGUGGCAGCCUCCAAAAUGGCCACUGUGGCAAGGAAUAGGCCUGGAGAGGACCGAAGACCGCCCAGACUGGAAAAAAAUUCUGACCUCCGUUUCAGCAUUGCAUGAAAUUGACUUCUCUGACUCUCCUCUCCACUCCAGCUGAGGCAUUGAGUGUUUCAAAAGGAUUAUCAGAAGAUAAGAUAUGCAAAAAGCGGCAGUGCUUCCCUGUAGAGCAUGAGUGAUUUAGUUAAGAAUGUAUUGUAUUGCAAUGUAAUGAAUUGUGUACUAAGGAAUUCUGAGUAACCUGAGAGUAGCCAUUGCCAACACAAUACCCUGAGCUGCUUGCUUUGAGAAUGUCGAAGAAGUGUGCCAGCCUGGAAUGGAUUAAUCAAUUUAUCUGCUGCAUUACUUUUUUUUUUGCUCCUGAGAAGAUUUCACCCCCCCACCCCCUUGAGAGAAUUGCUGCCUGCCAGUGCUAGCCCUAGACCGAGUGAGUGAACCGCCAUUUACACAAACACACACACACACACACACACCCUCCCUCCCUCCCUCCCUCCCUCCCUCCCUCUGGAAUUCUGGAUUUUUGGGUUAAUUGAAUGUACAAAGUUGUGUGUUGUUUAGUUUAGAAGAAGUUUAAACAGGGGUUCUGUGGGAGGGAUCCCUCUAAAAGUCAAUUUGACUUCCAAAAACCCUACCUCAUCAGCAAACACCUUCCGUUUGAUUGAAAUCAAACUGACCUGCAAAGGGAUUUGGGAGACAGCAUUUUGAGACAGAAAGACUCAAAUGUCUUUGGGAGCUCAAUGCAGUUCUGAAGCUCUUGCUAAAAGCCAUGGUAUAAGUUGUGUGGAGAAGCUUUUCAAGAAGUUGCUUAGGAAAGUUAUGAAAUUACACAGGUUUUUCUUUCCAAAGGUUUAGAAAGAAUCUCUUGACUUGUUCAGGGGUCUUUUGAAGAGCUAUUUUGUUUUCCUUCUGAUAUUUAUGAGUUAUAGUGGUGUCUAAGUUUUGUUGCCCAAGUUGAGCAGUCUAAUGUAAUUUAGGCCGCAAUGUAAUUUGGUAGUUCAUGAUGCCUAAGCCAGUGGUUCACAACUUUUGCCAUUGCAGGUACAUGUCAUCCACAUGGGACUACAGGAGACAAAAAAGGGGGGGGGGGAAUACCCCCAUCAAUCUACUGACAUACUCAGGAAUCUUAGUUGCUUCUCUCUUUCUUGUAACCAUGAUCCAAGGUUUUGCACUUUCAUAAAUGCAGUGAUGAUGUAUCUCAACAAUUCUGAACAGUAGGCAGAUUUGUUUGGGGUGCUGCUCACUCCACUUCAGUUAAAUGAACAUUUGAAGCUGCUCCAUAGUACUAAGGCAGGUCAUUGGUCUAUCUUGCUAUCUCCAGUGACCUGUGGUCACUGUUCUAUGGAGAGAGAGCAUUUUUAUUGAAAGAUUGUUUGAAUCCAUGAAUGGGUAGUGCUGCUGUGCUAGUGCCACAGGGACAGGCUCAAACCCGCUGCAAAAUUCUCAAAUAACUGUGCCCCCAAAUUGUUGUUGUUCAUCAUUCUCUUCACUCUUUCAACUUGUUUAUGUGGGGCUUCAGGGGGAAAACAGUGGGUUGGGUGUCAGUGCCCCAAGGGGUGGUGCACCCAGAUUCCAAAGGAAUAGGGCAAAGGGCUGAUUCCUUAGGAAUUUUUGAGGCUUACGCGUCUUUAAGAUUUCCCCCCAUAGGGAAUAAUUGAGGUUUCAGCAGCCCUAUAGCUCCACCUGGGGGGGCACUGGGGUGGCCCGGAGUGAGUGGUGGUGUAGUGCACAUAGGGUGCCAACCACCCCCAUGGGUUGCUAACCCAUGGGGUGAUGGUUUCUGUUG